CCGCGGUAAUUUGACCGUGCGAAGGUAGCAUAGUCAGUAGUCUUUUAAUUGAAGGCUUGAAUGAAAGGUUGGACGAGGGAUGAGCUGUCUCCUUUACGUAAUUUGAAUUUAACUUUUGAGUGAAAAGGCUCAAAUUAUUUAGUGGGACGAUAAGACCCUAUAAAACUUUAUAUAAGUUUAAUUUGGCUUACAAUUUGAGUGAAAAGUAGCUUUAUUAGGCUUAUAUUUCGUUGGGGAGAUGUAGAUAUAAUGUGUAACUGUCUGUUUAAUUUAAUAAUUAUAAUUAGUGUGUGAUCCUUCUUUGUGGAUUAAAAGUAUAAGUUACUUUAGGGAUAACAGCGUGAUUUUCUUUGAGAGUUCUUAUCGACAAGAGUAGUUGCGACCUCGAUGUUGAAUUAAAAUUUCAGUUAGGUGUAGCCGUCUAGCUUGUAGGUCUGUUCGA
This 442-nucleotide ribosomal RNA is filed under the name Macrobrachium inflatum. Its description in RNAcentral is "partial 16S ribosomal RNA". It matches the Rfam family "Bacterial large subunit ribosomal RNA", at positions 1931 to 2584 of the family's 2925-position model. The record is from RNAcentral. Lineage: Eukaryota; Metazoa; Arthropoda; Malacostraca; Decapoda; Palaemonidae.